CUGUACACUCCAUGUUGGCUUCCUCUUCUCCCAGGGUUAGUUUCUGACUGUACGCUCCAUGUUGGCUUCCUCUUCUCCCAGGGUUAGUUUCUGACUGUACGCUCCAUGUUGGCUUCCUCUUCUCCCAGGGUUAGUUUCUGACUGUACGCUCCAUGCUGGCUUCCUCUUCUCCCAGGGUUAGUUUCUGACUGUACGCUCCAUGUUAGCUUCCUCUUCUCCCAGGGUUAGUUUCUGACUGUACGCUCCAUUUUGGCUUCCUCUUCUCCCAGGGUUAGUUUCUGACUGUUCCUCUCCAUGUUGGCUUCCUCUUCUCCCAGGGUUAGUUUCUGACUGUUCCUCUCCAUGCUGGCUUCCUCUUCUCCCAGGGUUAGUUUCUGACUGUACGCUCCAUGUUGGCUUCCUCUUCUCCCAGGGUUAGUUUCUGACUGUACGCUCCAUGCUGGCUUCCUCGUUUUAUAUUUCUAAAAUUAACAAAAUGUUGACUUGUCUUUACUAGGUCACACAGAGGGCAGGGCUUCACCAACUGACAGGCUGAACUUGUCGUAUUAUUAUUCAUUGUUGUACAUAAAGACUGUAAAAACACCAAGUAUUCCCACGUAAGAUGUGAUCGUAAUGUGUUAGUCAAACUCUGUUUGCAAAACAACAACAACAACAACCCAGUCUAGAAAGUAAUUCUCCUGACUUAUGACCCCUGGAACAAUCCAGCUUUCCCAUCAAGGAAAAACCCCAAGAUCAGCAUGGAGAGGCAACUCCAGCCUUCAACCGUUGGGAACCGGCUCACGUUUUAAACCCCUGCUAUUUUCUACUGUAAAGGUUAACAGAUAUGGUGCUUGUUUUGGGUGUUCAGUUGUGAAAUGUGCAUAUAACUUGUUUUUAUAUAGAAAAAAAAAAAAACAUUUGUCAUCGACUUCGUACUUUUUGUGUUCUAAAUAACAUGAUCUUUGAAAAUGAUAAAAUCAUUUGGUUUAU
This is a long non-coding RNA of Oncorhynchus keta (chum salmon), 969 nucleotides long. RefSeq lists it as uncharacterized. The transcript is spliced from 2 exons. The record is from RefSeq and is a predicted model, not a curated record. Lineage: Eukaryota; Metazoa; Chordata; Actinopteri; Salmoniformes; Salmonidae.